Molecule: ribosomal RNA, 253 nt
Filed under: uncultured bacterium
Lineage: Bacteria
Description: partial 16S ribosomal RNA
Rfam family: Bacterial small subunit ribosomal RNA
Source: RNAcentral
UACGGAGGGUGCAAGCGUUAAUCGGAUUUAUUGGGCGUAAAGCGUACGCAGGCGGUCUAUUAAGUCAGAUGUGAAAGCCCAGAGCUUAACUUGGUAAUUGCAUUUGAAACUGGUUGGCUAGAGUCUUGUAGAGGGGGGUAGAAUUCCCUGUGUAGCGGUGAAAUGCGUAGAGAUUUGGAAGAAUACCUGUGGCGAAGGCGGCCACCUGGACCAAUACUGACGCUCAGGUACUAAAGCGUGGGGAGCAAAGGGG